Carya illinoinensis is the source of this 931-nucleotide long non-coding RNA. RefSeq lists it as uncharacterized. NCBI's taxonomy places the organism in Eukaryota, Viridiplantae, Streptophyta, Magnoliopsida, Fagales, Juglandaceae. The transcript is spliced from 2 exons. The record is from RefSeq and is a predicted model, not a curated record.
AACAUUAAAAUAGUACAGGCUCAAUUCAUGCAUAGAAAUUCAUUAAAGAUCCAUGGAAUUCUAUUAUUUUAUAAUGGGCAAAAUAGUAAUUUGGAUAUUAUAUAUAGGUUAUAGUCCUCAUGCUGAAUUCAUUAUUAACUCUAGGCAUCCUAUGGUUGUGAAUAUUUCUAGAUAAUGAAUCUUGGACUUGGAAGAUCGAAUUGCUGCACUCUUCUUUCAUAUUCUACAGAUAAAUAUGGGAUGUCUCAGUUCUCUUAGAAACGAAAACAAGCUUCUCAUCGUUCUCAUCAUCGCGGGAAAUUGAAGUUAAUGGAAACACCAUCGGUGAGGCAACACUGGGGCGAAGAGUUGUGGAGGUUGGGCCAAUCUUGAGAGAGGUUGAAGCCAUAACAAACCGUAUCAAUGGUGGAGAUUAAGACUAUGGAGCCGGUGGGAUCCAUGAGAGAGCACUGGAAAUGGUAGAGCUGUUACGGUUUGUGGAAUCGGAAAAUGAAAUAGUUUCGAGUGGCAUAUAAAUACAUCCCAAAGUGGAGCUAGCUCGAUAAGAUGACGGCGUGCACAUAAUAAUUCGUGGAUGCAUUAUCUCAGAACAGAUUGCAUGUCCAAGUUCAUAUUCUAACAUGUGCAAUCAUCAACUAUCAUUGGGAAGUGAAUUAAUAUAAUCUAAAAAUGAAUUAAAUAUAUAUAUGUUCAGUCAACUAUACCGACUUCAUCCUGCAUCAUAGAGAUCAUAAUAAUCCGGCCAGUAAAUAGCAAGUUUUGAUCUGUUGCCUCUGGCUAUUGAGGAGACGGAUCAGUUUCCAGUUUCAAGUUUCCACACCAUCUAUAUAUAUUCAUCGUGGAUCCCACUUACAGUAACUCGGACCUUGUGACGCGAGACAGCAUUUCAAAUUCAUAAACAGAACCUAUGUUUGUUUUGGCAGUUUUUUAA